AAACAUACAAACUGCCGCGAAAGCACUGUCUGCUUGCAUAUGGAUAUAUUUCAGAAAACAAAUGUUGUUCAGGACUCAGCCACUAAUACCUAAUGCUCAACAACUUCAAUACCUAAGAAGAAAUCUACCAUCAAAUCUUCAUAGACUGAAUUGUAAGGUAAAAUUUGUACUAUUUCCUAUAUGAAAAUGUUACUCAAAUGUCAAGUUGUUGGCAUGUAAUUAGUCUCAAAUAUUUUUAUGAUAAUGAUGAGAUAUUUAGAGAUGUGGCAGGACCAGGUUUCAUUUGCAUUUCACAUUAACCUGAAAAGCCUAUUUAUCACUUACUAAAAUUAAUAAGUUAUUUUACAUUUCUCUCUUCUCUUUCUCCCUCUUUCUUAUUUGGUCUUAUAAAUAAGGUCUUAUGACAUAAACUUGUAAUGUAAUUUACAGUUUAGCUUUGAACUUUUAAUAUUUCUGUUGAAGGCUUCUGAGCAGUGAGAUUUUAACGCUGGGCCAUCAUGCCUGGUGGAUCACUAUUCUUGCUGGCAUAUUCAUAAUACAUUAU
RNAcentral lists this long non-coding RNA (544 nucleotides) under Rattus norvegicus (Norway rat). Its description in RNAcentral is "long non-coding RNA NONRATT032584". The record is from RNAcentral. Lineage: Eukaryota; Metazoa; Chordata; Mammalia; Rodentia; Muridae.